This 471-nucleotide ribosomal RNA is filed under the name uncultured bacterium. Its description in RNAcentral is "bacterial SSU rRNA". It matches the Rfam family "Bacterial small subunit ribosomal RNA", at positions 355 to 825 of the family's 1533-position model. The record is from RNAcentral.
UGGGGAAUUGUUCGCAAUGGGCGCAAGCCUGACGACGCAACGCCGCGUGGAGGAUGAAGGUCUUCGGAUUGUAAACUCCUGUUGCCCGGGACGAAUAGCUUCGACCUAAUACGUCGGAGUAUGACGGUACCGGGUGAGGAAGCCCCGGCUAACUACGUGCCAGCAGCCGCGGUAAUACGUAGGGACCAAGCGUUGUUCGGAUUUACUGGGCGUAAAGGGCGCGUAGGCGGCGUGGUAAGUCACUUGUGAAAUCUCCGAGCUUAACUCGGAACGGUCAAGUGAUACUGCUGUGCUAGAGUACAGAAGGGGCAAUCGGAAUUCUUGGUGUAGCGGUGAAAUGCGUAGAUAUCAAGAGGAACACCUGAGGUGAAGACGGGUUGCUGGGCCGAUACUGACGCUGAGGCGCGAAAGCUAGGGUAGCAAACGGGAUUAGAUACCCUUGUAGUCCCUGAGCGGGCUGGCAAGGCGCAU